AGUGAACGCUGGCGGUAGGCCUAACACAUGCAAGUCGAACGGCAGCACAGUAAGAGCUUGCUCUUACGGGUGGCGAGUGGCGGACGGGUGAGGAAUACAUCGGAAUCUACUUUUUCGUGGGGGAUAACGUAGGGAAACUUACGCUAAUACCGCAUACGACCUACGGGUGAAAGCAGGGGAUCUUCGGACCUUGCGCGAUUGAAUGAGCCGAUGUCGGAUUAGCUAGUUGGCGGGGUAAAGGCCCACCAAGGCGACGAUCCGUAGCUGGUCUGAGAGGAUGAUCAGCCACACUGGAACUGAGACACGGUCCAGACUCCUACGGGAGGCAGCAGUGGGGAAUAUUGGACAGUGGGCGCAAGCCUGAUCCAGCCAUACCGCGUGGGUGAAGAAGGCCUUCGGGUUGUAAAGCCCUUUUGUUGGGAAAGAAAAGCAGCAGGUUAAAACCCCGCUGUUCUGACGGUACCCAAAGAAUAAGCACCGGCUAACUUCGUG
Molecule: ribosomal RNA, 492 nt
Filed under: uncultured bacterium
Lineage: Bacteria
Description: partial 16S ribosomal RNA
Rfam family: Bacterial small subunit ribosomal RNA
Source: RNAcentral